AUUGAACGCUGGCGGCAUGCCUUACACAUGCAAGUCGAACGGUAACGGGUCCUUCGGGAUGCCGACGAGUGGCGAACGGGUGAGUAAUAUAUCGGAACGUGCCCAGUAGUGGGGGAUAACUGCUCGAAAGAGCAGCUAAUACCGCAUACGACCUGAGGGUGAAAGGGGGGGAUCGCAAGACCUCUCGCUAUUGGAGCGGCCGAUAUCAGAUUAGCUAGUUGGUGGGGUAAAGGCCUACCAAGGCAACGACCUGUAGUUGGUCUGAGAGGACGACCAGCCAAACUGGGACUGAGAAACGGCCCAGACUCCUACGGGAGGCAGCAGUAGGGAAUUUUCGGCAAUGGGCGCAAGCCUGACCGAGCAACGCCGCGUGAGUGAUUAAGGCCUUCGGGUUGUAAAGCUCUGUUGUAAGGGAAGAACAUUCAGGAUAGGAAAUGAUCUUGAACUGACGGUACCUUACCAGAAAGCCACGGCUAACUACGUGCCAGCCGCCGCUGUAA
Molecule: ribosomal RNA, 500 nt
Filed under: uncultured bacterium
Lineage: Bacteria
Description: partial 16S ribosomal RNA
Rfam family: Bacterial small subunit ribosomal RNA
Source: RNAcentral